RNAcentral lists this ribosomal RNA (552 nucleotides) under Alternaria sp. UFMGCB_563. Its description in RNAcentral is "eukaryotic LSU rRNA". The stretch from base 67 to 220 matches the Rfam family "5.8S ribosomal RNA". The record is from RNAcentral. Lineage: Eukaryota; Fungi; Ascomycota; Dothideomycetes; Pleosporales; Pleosporaceae.
CACCACUAGGACAAACAUAAACCUUGUGUAAUUGCAAUCAGCGUCAGUAACAAAUUAAUAAGUACAACCUUUCAACAACGGAUCUCUUGGUUCUGGCAUCGAUGAAGAACGCAGCGUAAUGCGAUAAGUAGUGUGAAUUGCAGAAUUCAGUGAAUCAUCGAAUCUUUGAACGCACAUUGCGCCCUUUGGUAUUCCAAAGGGCAUGCCUGUUCGAGCGUCAUUUGUACCCUCAAGCUUUGCUUGGUGUUGGGCGUCUUGUCUCUAGCUUUGCUGGAGACUCGCCUUAAAGUAAUUGGCAGCCGGCCUACUGGUUUCGGAGCGCAGCACAAGUCGCACUCUCUAUCAGCAAAGGUCUAGCAUCCAUUAAGCCUUUUUUCAACUUUUGACCUCGGAUCAGGUAGGGAUACCCGCUGAACUUAAGCAUAUCAAUAAGCGGAGGAAAAGAAACCAACAGGGAUUGCCCUAGUAACGGCGAGUGAAGCGGCAACAGCUCAAAUUUGAAAUCUGGCUCUUUUAGAGUCCGAGUUGUAAUUUGCAGAGGCGGCUUUGGCU